GCGUAGAUAACCUGUCCAGGUGUAUGGGAUAGCCCUUCGAAAGGGGGAUUAAUACCGUAUACGUUGGUCUUCUUUAAGGAGGAUCAAGAAAGGUGGCCUCUAUUUAUAAGCUAUCGCAUUUGGAGGGGUCUGCGUACCAUUAGUUUGUUGGUGGGGUAAUGGCCUACCAAGACUUCGAUGGUUAGCGGGUCUGAGAGGAUGAUCCGUCACACUGGCACUGAAACACGGGCCAGACUCCUACGGGAGCAGCAGUGAGGAAUAUUGCGCAAUGGGGGAAACCCUGACGCAGCGACGCCGCGUGGGUGAGGAAGGCUUUCGGGUCGUAAAGCCCUGUCAGAAGGGAAGAAAUGUUUACAGGAUAAUACCCUGUAGAUUUGACGGUACCUUCAAAGG
Molecule: ribosomal RNA, 393 nt
Filed under: uncultured delta proteobacterium
Lineage: Bacteria; Deltaproteobacteria
Description: bacterial SSU rRNA
Rfam family: Bacterial small subunit ribosomal RNA
Source: RNAcentral